This 1022-nucleotide long non-coding RNA is filed under the name Leguminivora glycinivorella. Its description in RNAcentral is "uncharacterized LOC125229876". The record is from RNAcentral. Lineage: Eukaryota; Metazoa; Arthropoda; Insecta; Lepidoptera; Tortricidae.
UUAAAGUGCGAUGGGGCUACGUACGCAAGUUUACUGCGUUUUCUGACUCGGUCUGUCAUUAGUCUAUUUUCGUGCAGUGGACAUGUUUUGCAGUUGGAUUUGGGUUGGUUAGAAAAAUGGAAGACACAACAAGUAGGUGCCUGUUCAAACACCAGGAUUAUGUCACCAAUAUUAGACCCUGAUUCACUAUCUGAAACAUCUUCGAUAGUGCCAAUUGCGAAGGAAAUUAAAAUAAGUACCUAAUACAGAUAAUACUACGUGAUUACGCAAUGAUUCGGGAUUCUGAAUCUGAAACUGAUGUCGAUAUGCAGGGGACAGAGGAUUAUCCGGAAUUAUUAAACAAAGAGAAGAAACCAAGAAAAAAGCGAAGAAGGGCAUGUCGCACCUUAACUUCAACCCAAAAACUCGAUUCCGAAACUGAUACACAGGAUUUUUCUCCCAGUGAUGGCUCAGAUUUUGUCCCGGAUUCAGCCAGUCGAUUUAGUGAUGACUCAAUGCAUUUUAUUAUUACUUAGCAAUAUGCAUUUGUAAGAGAAAAACUCCUCGAACUGCUGCAUGACACUUGCAGUCGAGGGUACCUUGCAAAUGCAUACUGUUGAGUGACACCGUCUGCCGUUCCCGCCUGCCGCUGCCAUCGCUGUCUUAUGUGUUUAAACGUGUUAUGCUUAAGUCCAUGUAAUUACCACUAUCCACCGCCCUACUCGGCUGUCAAUGUUGGUAUAAUAAGACCUCAGAUUACGACAAAGUUUUUUCUUGCAUGUCACUCGGAAUGCGUUAGCAGUGGACUGUAGCAAAACACUUAAACAUCUACAAUGGUAACGUUAUGGCGGGUAAAAACACUAUUUUUACAGUUUUGUUACAUUUUUCUGUGAAAAGGGUGUCUUAUUCAUCUACAUAGUGAAAUAAUAAAAAAGCACUUUUAAAAUUGUGUCGCUAACUUCAAACUCGGGUAAAUCCAUUCUGCUUUAAGGUUGAUUAUGUAUAAUAGUUAUUUGUUUUACAAGGGGGCAAUGUAGUUGUUU